AAAUUANCGUUAUAANGGCGUNAAGGGUGGUCACAUGUUAUCCAAGUAACUAAGAUUAAAAGGUGUCUGAGCUGUCAUAAGCCAAUGAUACCCAUAAGGCCUCUUCCAUCAAAGAAGAUCUUAGAACAACGAUUAAUUGAAAUCCACGAAAGCCAGGGCCCAAACUGGGAUUAGAUACCCCACUAUGCCUGGCCCUAAAUCUUGAUGCUUUAUCUUACCUGAGCAUCCGCCCGAGAACUACGAGCGCAAACGCUUAAAACUCUAAGGACUUGGCGGUGCCCCAAACCCACCUAGAGGAGCCUGUUCUAUAAUCGAUGAUCCACGAUAUACCUAACCAUUUCUUGCCAGUAACAGCCUAUAUACCGCCGUCGCCAGCCCACCUCCCCUGAUAGCCCAACAGU
Molecule: ribosomal RNA, 401 nt
Filed under: Kakamega poliothorax (gray-chested illadopsis)
Lineage: Eukaryota; Metazoa; Chordata; Aves; Passeriformes; Timaliidae
Description: partial 12S ribosomal RNA
Rfam family: Bacterial small subunit ribosomal RNA
Source: RNAcentral